GCAAGUCGAACGAGAAAGCAUCUUCGGAUGUGAGUAGAGUGGCGCACGGGUGAGUAACACGUGGGUAACCUGCCCCUUGAUGGAGGAUAACCAGGAGAAAUCCUGGCUAAUACUGCAUAAGUUGGUAACAAUAAAGGAUGCUUCGGCAUUCGUCGAGGGAUGGGCCCGCGGAACAUUAGCUUGAUGGUGGGGUAAUGGCCUACCAUGGCUACGAUGUUUAACUGGUCUGAGAGGAUGAUC
Molecule: ribosomal RNA, 240 nt
Filed under: uncultured bacterium
Lineage: Bacteria
Description: partial 16S ribosomal RNA
Rfam family: Bacterial small subunit ribosomal RNA
Source: RNAcentral